GGGGGAAAAUUAAUAAAAUAAUAAUAAUAAAAAAAUUUUUAAUAUUGGGGGGUAUUAAAGUAUUUUUUAGAAAAAAAAUAAAUUAUUUUAUAGUAAAUUAGUAUUGAGAAAGAAAUUUGAAAUAAAUGAAAAUAAAUUAAUAAAAAAGUAAUUUUAAUUUAAUGUAUCUUGUGUAUCAGAGUUUUUUAAAAAAUGUUUUUUAAAAAAAAAAAUCUCGAAUUUAAAAGAGUUAAUUAAUUAUAAGAAUUAAUGUAGAAAAAUUAUUUUAAAUAAUUAAUUUGAAAUGAAAUGUUAAUCGUUUUUAAAUAUAUCUAGUUAUUUUAGAAAAAAAUUUAAUUUAAAAUUUAAAAAAUUUUUUUAUUAAUUGAAAUUAAUAAAAAAAUUUUAAAAUUAAAUAUAUUAAGGGAUAAGCUUUAAUAUAAAAAUUUAUAAUAAUUUAAAUUUAAUUUAAAAUUUUUAAAAUUUAUAUUGUUUAAAAAUUAUAAUUUAUUAUAAAAAAUUUUAUUAAUAAUAAAAUUUAAUAUAAAUUUAAUUUUAUAUAAAAUAAUAAUUUUAAAUAAAAAAAAAAUUAAUUAUAAUGAUAAAAUUAGUAUAUUGUAAAUAAAAAAAAAUUUAAUUAAUAAGAAUUAAAUUAAAGGAAUUCGGCAAAAUUUUAUAUUCACCUGUUUAUCAAAAACAUGUCUUUUAGAUUAAUAAUUUAAAGUCUAAUCUGCCCACUGAUGAUAUAUUAAAGGGCUGCAGUAUAUUGACUGUACAAAGGUAGCAUAAUCAAUAGUCUUUUAAUUGAAGACUUGUAUGAAAGAUUUGAUGAAAUAUAAACUGUCUCUAAUUUAAGAAUAGAAUUUAAUUUUUUAGUUAAAAAGCUAAAAUAAUUUUAAAAGACGAGAAGACCCUAUAGAGUUUUAUAUUAAUAUUAUUUAAGAUUAUAUGUAUAAUUAAAAAUUAAAAAUAAAAAUAAUAUUUUAUUGGGGUGAUAGAAAAAUUUAAAUAACUUUUUUUAUAAAUUAAACAUAAAUAAAUGAAUAUAUGAUCCAUUUUUAAUGAUUAUAAGAAAAAAUUACCUUAGGGAUAACAGCGUAAUAUUUUUUUUUAGUACAAAUAAAAAAAAAAGUUUGCGACCUCGAUGUUGGAUUAAGAUAAAAUUUAAAUGCAAAAGUUUAAAAUUUUGAUCUGUUCGAUCAUUAAAAUCUUACAUGAUCUGAGUUCAAACCGGUGUGAGCCAGGUUGGUUUCUAUCUUUAAUAAAAAAAAAUAUUUUAGUACGAAAGGAUCAAAUAUUUUUAAUAAUUAAAAUUUAAUGAAUAUUAAUAAUUUAAUGGUAAUAA
RNAcentral lists this ribosomal RNA (1324 nucleotides) under Athyma kanwa. Its description in RNAcentral is "16S ribosomal RNA". Lineage: Eukaryota; Metazoa; Arthropoda; Insecta; Lepidoptera; Nymphalidae. The record is from RNAcentral.